Culex pipiens pallens (northern house mosquito) is the source of this 558-nucleotide long non-coding RNA. RefSeq lists it as uncharacterized. The transcript is spliced from 2 exons. NCBI's taxonomy places the organism in Eukaryota, Metazoa, Arthropoda, Insecta, Diptera, Culicidae. The record is from RefSeq and is a predicted model, not a curated record.
UCCAAUUUCUAGGCAAAUUUCAAGCACCCGGACGUUGUUUUCUGUUUUGUUCGCAAGCGCCCGGAAUUACAGCUGCGAGCAGCUUGAUCACAUCCUGGAGUACAGAUUCUCUGGCAAUUCUUGGUCAGCUGCAGAUAAGAUACUGCGGCUUCAGCGCAAUAUCCACCAUUUCCGACCGACUUCAUCUGCAACACCUCCUCCAGUAGUAGAUAAAACUGCUUGAGCGCUGCUUCCAAAAACAUUCCAUUGCACACUUUUAUUUUCUUUCGCACUAUUUGAUUUUUGUUAUUUUAGGCGUAGAAAAAAAUACAGGUUGAAUACCACCCUUAGAGCCCCACAUCCCACUAAUACAACUGCUAGACCGAAGCAACCGCGACGAUUUGCUUGAACUGUCAAACCCGUCAAACCAGGCGUCGUAGAAAUUGAAAUCGCGAAAACUGGUCAAAUUCAUAAAACUAAAGGAAAUCUACACUUUCCACAACCCUCAACAUGAAUCACGAGAAGAAACGCGUUCUAUCGGUAGACUAAACAACAGACAGCUCGUCGAAAAGUAUAUCU